This 467-nucleotide ribosomal RNA is filed under the name uncultured bacterium. RNAcentral describes it as "partial 16S ribosomal RNA". It matches the Rfam family "Bacterial small subunit ribosomal RNA", at positions 28 to 507 of the family's 1533-position model. The record is from RNAcentral.
GACGAACGCUGGCGGCGUGCUUAACACAUGCAAGUCGAACGGAAAGGCUCCAGCUUGCUGGAGUACUCGAGUGGCGAACGGGUGAGUAACACGUGGGUAAUCUGCCCUGCACUCUGGGAUAAGCCUGGGAAACUGGGUCUAAUACUGGAUAUGACCUUUCUCCUGAUGGGGUUUGGUGGAAAGUUUUUCGGUGUAGGAUGAGCCCGCGGCCUAUCAGCUUGUUGGUGGGGUGAUGGCCUACCAAGGCGACGACGGGUAGCCGGCCUGAGAGGGUGAUCGGCCACAUUGGGACUGAGAUACGGCCCAGACUCCUACGGGAGGCAGCAGUGGGGAAUAUUGCACAAUGGGCGGAAGCCUGAUGCAGCGACGCCGCGUGAGGGAUGACGGCCUUCGGGUUGUAAACCUCUUUCAGCAGGGACGAAGCGUAAGUGACGGUACCUGCAGAAGAAGCACCGGCUAACUAUGUG